GGCCGCGGGAAUUCGAUUCAGGCCUAACACAUGCAAGUCGAGCGGUAGAGAGAAGCUUGCUUCUCUUGAGAGCGGCGGACGGGUGAGUAAUGCCUAGGAAUCUGCCUGGUAGUGGGGGAUAACGUCCGGAAACGGACGCUAAUACCGCAUACGUCCUACGGGAGAAAGCAGGGGACCUUCGGGCCUUGCGCUAUCAGAUGAGCCUAGGUCGGAUUAGCUAGUUGGUGGGGUAAUGGCUCACCAAGGCGACGAUCCGUAACUGGUCUGAGAGGAUGAUCAGUCACACUGGAACUGAGACACGGUCCAGACUCCUACGGGAGGCAGCAGUGGGGAAUAUUGGACAAUGGGCGGAA
This 353-nucleotide ribosomal RNA is filed under the name uncultured bacterium. Its description in RNAcentral is "bacterial SSU rRNA". It matches the Rfam family "Bacterial small subunit ribosomal RNA", at positions 43 to 380 of the family's 1533-position model. The record is from RNAcentral.